RNAcentral lists this transfer RNA (73 nucleotides) under Felis catus (domestic cat). It matches the Rfam family "tRNA". Rfam says of the family: Transfer RNA (tRNA) molecules are approximately 80 nucleotides in length. Their secondary structure includes four short double-helical elements and three loops (D, anti-codon, and T loops). Lineage: Eukaryota; Metazoa; Chordata; Mammalia; Carnivora; Felidae. The record is from Rfam by way of RNAcentral.
GCCUAGCUGGCUCAGUCUAUAGAGCGCGUGACUCUUGAUCCCAGUGCUGUGGGUUCGAGCCCCAUGUUGGGUG